GGCAACUUGGCCGAGUGGUCUAAGGCGACGCACUCAAGGAAUCUCCCUUACUCCUCCAAGGAGCUGCAUUGCGUUCUCGCAAGAGGCGUGAGUUCGAAUCUCACAGUUGUCA
Molecule: non-coding RNA, 112 nt
Organism: Bombardia bombarda
Lineage: Eukaryota; Fungi; Ascomycota; Sordariomycetes; Sordariales; Lasiosphaeriaceae
Source: the annotation of a GenBank genome assembly